RNAcentral lists this long non-coding RNA (377 nucleotides) under Brachypodium distachyon (stiff brome). RNAcentral's name for it is "long non-coding RNA (BDIS_LNC004797)". Lineage: Eukaryota; Viridiplantae; Streptophyta; Magnoliopsida; Poales; Poaceae. The record is from RNAcentral.
GUUCGGCUCGGUCGGGCAGGCGGGACGGGGCCGGUUCGGCCCAGAACGGCCGGGCCGGUCCGGUUUCUGCUUUUCUUUUCUUUUAGCCUUUUCUUUUUCUGGUUUUCUUAUUUCUUUGAUAUCUUUUGAUUUUGAACUCCAAAUUGGUCCAAAUAAAUUCUAAAAAUUUGUAAAAUCAUGUUUUAUCAUGAUUCAAAUUUUGGGAGUGAUUUCCCCUCAAAAUAAAUAUCUAAAAAUACAUUUGUCCUAUAAAUGCCUUUAGGGCUAUAUAACUAUUUAAAUAAAAUACUUUUUCAACUCCAAAUAAUUAUCCAAAAAUUAUGGGAUAGCUUAUUUAUGCAAUAAACCCCUUUUGUACAUAAACCCUAUUGGUUUGA